UGUGUAGGUGGCUGAGCAAGUCAAAGAUGAAAUCCCAAGGCUCAACCUUGGAAUUGUCUUUGAAACUGUUUAGCUUGAGGAUAGCUGAGGAGAAUGGAAUUCCCGGUGGAGCGGUGAAAUGCGUAGAUAUCGGGAGGAACACCAGAGGCGAAGGCGAUUCUCUAAGCUAUUCCUGACACUGAGACACGAAAGCUAGGGUAGCAAACG
Molecule: ribosomal RNA, 207 nt
Filed under: uncultured bacterium
Lineage: Bacteria
Description: partial 16S ribosomal RNA
Rfam family: Bacterial small subunit ribosomal RNA
Source: RNAcentral